GUACAGAUAUGUUCUCUUGGUCUCUUGUGUCGCUGCUUCUGUCUCUUGCUUGUAUAACUAGCUGCCAUGCUGUCAUUUUUAAGUUCAGCAUCAAUCAAACGUGUCAAAGCUCUAUACUUGUGACGUUUUCUAUAAUAAAGCAGGACUUGUCCAACACUACUUCUUACACUGAACUAUACUCCUGUUCUGCCAAGCUUCCUCCAAAUGCUAGUGCUGAAUUUAGUCCUGUACAUGAUGGAUCAAAUACAAAUGAAUUGUUUCUUCAGUGGCAUUCCAAUAGUAGGGAUGUCAGUUGAUUUCUUGAAGUUAUUAAUAGCGUGAAUAUAACCUUUUUAUCAGUUAGACUGUAAAACAAGGAUCACAAAGAUAUAUAAUACAACAUAAAUACAACUUACAGGAGCGGUGUAAUAAUUUUUUUCUGAUUUACUGAAUCUCUGAAAAAUUAAUAAAGAAUGAAUGGGGCGUGGUGGCACAUAUUUUAAUAACUGAAUUUUAGCUGAAUCAGCUGAGAAAUAGUGCCUCAACACACCCUAGAAAAGAUAUCUGGUACAAGUCAGAUUGACCAUUCCUGUGUCAGUACUACCAUUCACCACCUUAGAAGAUGACUGAAGAAGAUGAUAUGCCUAUGCAAUGCUAUCAAGCAGAUAAAGUUCACUGUGUCUGGCUAGUGAAUGGAGAAAUGAAGGUUCUUUUCGAAUGCACACUUCCAGAGGGGUCUGGGCAAUUGAUAUCUGGAUCUGUCAAUUUAGUCAUAAAUAAAGAAUUAAUACAAGAGUAUAUUGACAGUAUGGAUCAUAUUCCACACAUAAGAAAAGUCACAACUACAACUUUAGAACCUACAAUGGGACUUCAUGUUUAGAGACUAAUUUAAAAUGAACUGCUUCAUGUUUAGAGACUAUUUUGAAAUGCAUUGAAGUUAUGCAUCAUUAUUUUUAAAAAUGAUUGUUGAAAUGGA
Long non-coding RNA from Amphimedon queenslandica, 955 nucleotides. RefSeq lists it as uncharacterized. The transcript has 4 exons. The record is from RefSeq and is a predicted model, not a curated record. Lineage: Eukaryota; Metazoa; Porifera; Demospongiae; Haplosclerida; Niphatidae.